GGUAGCGUAAUCACCUGUUUCCUAAUUAGAGACCUGUAUGAACGGCAUCACGAGGAUCAAACUGUCUCCUUUAUCCAGUCAGUGAAACUAAUCUUCCUGUGAAAAAGCAGGAAUUACAAAACAAGACGAGAAGACCCUUUGGAGCUUAAGACAAAGUAAAAUUUUAUUUUUGCCACCUAUACCUCCCAUUACCCAAUUUUACUAGCCUUUGGUUGGGGCAACCACGGAGCACAAAAAACCCUCCAAGAUGUAACGGACUACUCCUAAACAAAAAGCCACAACUUUAUGUAUCAAUAAACUGACAUUAUUAGACCCAAUAUUUUGAUCAACGAACCAAGUUACCCAAGGGAUAACAGCGCAAUCCACUCUAAGAGUCCAUAUCGACGAGUGGGCUUACGACCUCGAUGUUGGAUCAAGGUACCCCAGUGGUGCAGCCGCUACUAAAGGUUCGUUUGUUCAACGAUUAAAACCUCACGUGAUCUGG
Molecule: ribosomal RNA, 484 nt
Filed under: Eleutherodactylus longipes
Lineage: Eukaryota; Metazoa; Chordata; Amphibia; Anura; Eleutherodactylidae
Description: partial 16S ribosomal RNA
Rfam family: Bacterial large subunit ribosomal RNA
Source: RNAcentral